UGAAUACGAGAUGCUACGGCGUCGAAGCAGUGUAUGUCAGACUUCCAAGAAAAGCUCGCAAUGUCAUAAAUAAAGAAUGCCUGUACCAUAACCGACACAGGUGGGUAGGUAGAGUAUACUAAGGGACGCGAGAUAACUCUCUCUAAGGAACUCGGCAAAAUAACUCCGUAACUUCGGGAGAAGGAGUGCCUUCUUUAAGAAGGUUGCAAUAACAAGAUCCAAGCAACUGUUUAUCAAAAACACAGGUCUCCGCUAAGUCGUAAGACGAUGUAUGGGGGCUGACGCCUGCCCAGUGCCAGAAGGUUAAAGAAGCUGGUUAGCAAUAGCGAAGCUGGUGACUGAAGCCCUGGUGAACGGCGGCCGUAACGAUAACGGUCCUAAGGUAGCGAAAUUCCUUGUCGGGUAAGUUCCGACCCGCACGAAAGGCGUAAUGAUUUGGAUACUGUCUCGGAGAGGGACUCGGUGAAAUAGACUUGUCUGUGAAGAUGCGGACUACCUGCACCAGGACAGAAAGACCCUAUGAAGCUUUACUGUAACCUGAAAUUGAAAUUGGACUUUAUUUGCGCAGUAUAGGUGGGAGGCGUUGAAAGUAAUCUUGCGGGAUUAGUGGAGCCAUCAGUGAGAUACCACUCCUAUAAUGUUAGAUUUCUAACUUUGGAUCAUGAUCUGGUCAAAGAACAGUUUCAGGCGGGCAGUUUGACUGGGGCGGUCGCCUCCCAAAUGGUAACGGAGGCGUACAAAGGUUUCCUCUGAACGGGUAGAAAUCGUAUCUAGAGUGUAAAGGCAUAAGGAAGCUUGACUGUGAGACCUACAAGUCGAGCAGGGACGAAAGUCGGUCUUAGUGAUCAGACGGUGCUGAGUGGAAAGGCCGUCACUCAACGGAUAAAAGUUACUCUAAGGAUAACAGGCUGAUCUCCCCCAAGAGUUCACAUCGACGGGGAGGUUUGGCACCUUGAUGUCGGCUCAUCGCAUCCUGGGGCGGUAGUACGUCCCAAGGGUUGGGCUGUUCGCCCAUGAAAGCGGUACGCGAGCUGGGUUCAGAACGUCGUGAGACAGUUCGGUCCAUAUCCGGUGUAGGCGUUAGAAUAUUGAGAGGAGCCUUCUCUAGUACGAUAGGACCGAGAAGGACAUACCUCUGGUGUACCAGUUAUCGUGCCAACGGUAAACGCUGGGUAGCUAUGUAUGGAGAGGAUAACCGCUGAAAGCAUCUAAGUGGGAAGCCCACCUCAAGAUGAGUAUUCUCAUC
RNAcentral lists this ribosomal RNA (1246 nucleotides) under metagenome. Its description in RNAcentral is "bacterial LSU rRNA". It matches the Rfam family "Bacterial large subunit ribosomal RNA", at positions 1564 to 2818 of the family's 2925-position model. The record is from RNAcentral.